This 497-nucleotide ribosomal RNA is filed under the name uncultured bacterium. RNAcentral's name for it is "partial 16S ribosomal RNA". It matches the Rfam family "Bacterial small subunit ribosomal RNA", at positions 28 to 507 of the family's 1533-position model. The record is from RNAcentral.
GAUGAACGCUGGCGGCGUGCCUAAUACAUGCAAGUCGAGCGAACGGACGAGAAGCCUGCUUUUCUGAUGUUAGCGGCGGACGGGUGAGUAACACGUGGAUAACCUACCUAUAAGACUGGGAUAACUUCGGGAAACCGGAGCUAAUACCGGAUAAUAUUUUGAACCGCAUGGUUCAAAAGUGAAAGACGGUCUUGCUGUCACUUAUAGAUGCAUCCGCGCUGCAUUAGCUAGUUGGUAAGGUAACGGCUUACCAAGGCAACGAUGCAUAGCCGACCUGAGAGGGUGGUCGACCACACUUGAACUGAGACACGGUCCAGACUCCUACGGGAGGCAGCAGUAGGCAAUCUUCCGCAAUGGUGGAAAGCCUGGCGGAGCAGCGCCGCGUGAGUGAUGAAAAUCUUCGUAUCGUGAAACUCUGUUAUUAGGUAAGAACAUAUUUGUAAGUAACUGUGCACAUCUUGACGGUACCUAAUCAGAAAGCCACGGCUAACUACGUG